Molecule: long non-coding RNA, 449 nt
Organism: Megalobrama amblycephala (Wuchang bream)
Lineage: Eukaryota; Metazoa; Chordata; Actinopteri; Cypriniformes; Xenocyprididae
Exons: 4
Source: RefSeq, a predicted model, not a curated record
GGAAAAAACCGCUUACACCUGUUUCCUAUUAAGCCUUAAUGAGUCUUGAUCGUUGUGGGACCUGUGUGAAGAGAAGGACAAAGUCGCGAUUGGAUGUGUAUACGUCGUUUUAUCUAUAAAAAGCUUAAAUUUGGUCUCAGUGCUUCACAUCGUAAGCAAGAAGAAAAAUAGUUUCAACAGGACUUUUUCAGAUGGCUGAUACUAAAUCCUGAAGACAUCAAAAUCAGGGAGAAGGAUGGAGGAUGCAGUGAAGUGGAACUCGUAGGCAGCCACCCCUCCUCUACACAGCAGAGCCAGGUGGCCACCCAGUCUACUGCAUCAUGGAUUGCAAAAAGAAGAGAUGAGAUAGAUGGACAGGUCUUCACUCAGGCACGGCUCGGUUUCUGUUGGAUCUCCCAGUGCACUCUGGGAAAUGUGGUCCUCAGCUCUCCAGGCUCAUGAAGGCGACC